ACUAUAAUCAGCGAUUUGCACGUUUAGGCUGUAGGAGGUUGCUCAUCAAAUGUGAUGGCUGGCUCGGCCUCCACAAGGCUGUUGCUACUUGUCAUACUGGCUGGUGCAAUUAAUGGAUCCUUCACAAAGAAUGCUUUGGAUCCUGUUGGGGCUUCUGGUACGAACCGUUUUUCGUUCCAGUUGGGGGGAACCUGGCCCUGAAUAUGUCGCUGAAGACUCUGCUUUCUCAAGUGCGCCAAAGCGAGCUGCACAGCUUUACACAGAUAAGCAACCUAGAUGCACUCAUCCUAGUGCUCAGACCAGGUCCUGCUCUCUACGGGUCUGAUGUGUAUAUAUAUCCAGGACAUCACGGAUUCCCUACCUCACCAAACCAAGUUCAGUGGGCGGUCGAUCCCCCCAAUCCUUUCUUUGGUAAAAUUUCCCCUCUGGUUGAGUCGAGCUUCGUCUCUGGAAGUCCCGGCUACGUGAGCCCUCCAGGGCCAUUUCCCAUGUUCCAGCCAGAGGAAGCUUCUUAUGAGGAGAGGACCUAUAAUCAAGGAGACCAUGACUCUGAAGACAGAGGCCCUCCUCCCCAGUACCUUCCUGUCCUGCCUCUAAAUGAAUUCACCAUAGAUAGACGGACUUCGACAUGGUUAUCCUCUACUUGAGUACAUGUUGCUGAGUAGGAGGUAUCCUCCAGGCAUGUACACGUUUUCCACCGCUCAACUUGACCAUAGACGAAACCAGAGGCAUGACAGUAGCCAGGUUGGUGAUCCUUACAUUUACAGUCAAACCUACCCAAAUCGUAAAAGGCACCCUCCUCAACAGAACAUUUGAAAGGCUGGAUACAGUGUUCACUAAUAUUUUAGCUGAGUCUCUAAUGGUGCUGACCUGCAGGAAGACCCCCCUAAUGCCAGGUUGUUGGCUAAGGCAACCAACUCGCUCUGCUGAAAGAUUGUUUAACCCUUUGGCAACCGGGAUUUUAAUUUGUUUUCUGAAACUACUACUUGACCCUGGAUUCUGUUAAACUCAGCUGACUGCUUCAGGCUUUUGUCACUGCUUCAAUAAAAAUCUAUAGCUUU
Long non-coding RNA from Gambusia affinis (western mosquitofish), 1061 nucleotides. RefSeq lists it as uncharacterized. The transcript has 4 exons. The record is from RefSeq and is a predicted model, not a curated record. Lineage: Eukaryota; Metazoa; Chordata; Actinopteri; Cyprinodontiformes; Poeciliidae.